GCAAAGGCAGGGCCCAUGGGCCAUUAGGACACAUAGUUCUCAGGUGUUUUCAUUUCAUGGCCUGACUUCUUUGAAUUCAGAUUAAAUCCCACUUGACAUGACCCUCUGGGACUCCUCGUGGAAAGUGGAGUCAUGUGAUAUCAGGGAGGCUGCUAAAGCAGUGCCGAGCUUGGGAAUCCCAAGCCAGGAUUUAGAACUUUAAGGGAAGUCACUCAAGGGGGCAUCACAAUGCUGAACUGGGAACCUUUCAACAAUGCUUAAGGGAUAAGUGAUAAGACAGGGGCCUCCAGAAUGAGUGACUAGCCUCCCUUUACAGUCUCACCUGCUCAGCUCUGUGACUCCAAACUGCAGUGUUUUCUCUCUUCAGUGGAGGAACGUGAGGCCCAGAGAUCCUUCUUGAGUUACCCAACGUCCUGCAGCCCGCAAUAGAGAAGCAGACUAGAGGCAACAUUACCGGAAUCUCUCUCUCCCAUCCCCCAUCCCAGACCCAGAUCCUUCUACUGCAGACACCUGCUGUUCUUUUAUUGAUGGCAUGGCUAGUGCUCAGUCAUCUGGUCACCACAACUCUACUGAGCCCCUCCCCUGGGUGCUGGACUGGCUCUAACACUGUGCGAACAGACAGAGGAAGGCUCAUGCUUGUGGAGCCAACGUUCUAAGUUGGGGAAGAGUCAAUGUAUGAAUUUUAAAAACAGUAAAACAAGAUCAUUUCAGAGAACGGAAGACAACAGCAAGCACGGGCCACCUGUGACCACGUGGACCCUAGGACCCAAGAGCAUGGCCCUGGAGCUGCCUGGCCCUACUGGCCUAGACUGGGCCUCGGCCACGCGCUCCUCACCUUCACAGUGGCAUUGCAGUACCGGGCACAGCCGCUCUUCAGGCUCCCAAACCUGCCACUGUAGACACAUCUGUGUGUGAAGAGUGCCUGGAGAAAGCCAAGGAGGGAAAGCAUGGCAGUCAGCAUGUUUAGGUCCUCCAGGCACUGCACACCCUCUGCAGACACUUGCCAUUGUACUUCCAUUUCACCACUGACGUCAGGAGAGAGUGCUGGACCACACUAGCAGACCUGGGUCUACAUCAGAGCUUGGACACCCUUUUUUAGGCCUGUUCCCUUGUUGGUGGAAUACAGGCCAGAGUUUGCAUCAUCCAUGGCCCACAGAUCUUUAUUCCCUCUUCCAUGCCACAGCAGAUGUCUCUAAGCAGAAAAUAUUUUCUGUUCAUUCUGGAUACGGUCUAGUCUCCCCUUCCGAUCUAUAGCCAUCCCUAAGAUCUCCUACAGAGACAUUUUGGAGCCCCCAAAGGGUCUAUCUACACUUCAUUGAAAGGUUUGCCAAACAAAAUUGUGAUAGUCUGAGUUUUUCUCUUAGGAGUGGGGCAGAUUUAUAUGCAUCCUUCCAUUCUAACCAACAAUGCCCACUCAUAAUUAUCUAGAACUCAUGUUUACUGAGAACAUUUUAUGGGCCAGACACAUUGCACAGAUGAGUUCAUCAAUCUUCAAUUCUAUGUGGAUGUUUCUCAUGCCAUUUUUUAUAGAUAAGGAAACAGGCCCAGACAGGUUAAAUCAUUUUUUCCAAGAAACACUGAUAGUAAGUAUAAGGUCUAGAGAAUGGGUCUUAUCACGUACAGACUUUAGGAUCACAGUCAUGUAGCCUCUGUGGGCCUCAGCUGCCUAAUUUAUAAAAUAUCAAGAAAAUAUUGAUGAGACAAUAAUGCUGAUUUCAAGUUUUGUCACGAGAAUUUAGUCUCUGGUUCAAAUUUUGUUUUAGAUAAUUGUUGAUGUCAAGCUUAUCCCUUCAUCUUAGGCUGUUGCUCAAGAAGAGGGCAAUGAGACUUUCCUAGGCUAUAAAAUCCUAAAAUAUUAGCUAUAUGAAGGAAUUCUGAGGUCACUGAGGAAGGAGCACUACAGUCCUUUUGGGAAUCUCAGGAUAAUUAACCAGGUGUGGGUCACAGGAUUCCCGGGAUGGGUGAUUUGAGGGCUUCUUUUGGCUCCUACCCAUGUGUCUAAUUUCCCUUUCUUUUCCCUCUUCCUUCUCUUUCCCUGGGCUGAGACAAUCAUAGAAUGGUGAUUAAACAUGUAGAACAAAUCAUGGUUCUGCCACAUCAGCUGUGUGACCUUGUACAAGGUGGUUUACGUUUCCUUGCCUUAGUGCCCUAAUCAUACAUUGGUUAUGGUGAUAAUAUACCCACCUCGUGGGGCUGCUGCAUAAAGCAUUUAGAACAAUGUCUGGCACACAGCAAUCACUGUGACACCAGCCAACACAAUUUCCUCUUCUCCUCCCUCUCACAUUCCCUGCUUGACAGCAUCCUGAAGGACUCAGGGGUAAUGCCUUUGUUAAGCAAAAUAAAUAUCUGAACACCUGCA
RNAcentral lists this long non-coding RNA (2359 nucleotides) under Homo sapiens (human). RNAcentral's name for it is "HSALNT0370198". The record is from RNAcentral. Lineage: Eukaryota; Metazoa; Chordata; Mammalia; Primates; Hominidae.